AUGUCCGGCUCCGACCUUCAGGGCCGGUGGAUGCCCUCCUCCGUCACGGAGGAGGACGUGUUAAAGCUGCGUGAGGCCAAGUACCUGUCUUACGAGAUUUCGCACAGGUUGUCCAUGCAAGGGCAGGCCGUACCCACUCCCGAGCCCGGUGAGUACAUCGUCUUCGUAUCCCACCUCCGUCGGGGUUUAGGCUUCUCGAUGGACCCCUUCGUGAGAGGGCUCAUGUUCUACUAUGGGCUGGAUUUUCACGACUUGGCUCUGGAGUCCAUCCUCCAUAUUUCCGCAUUCAUUAUCGUCUGCGAAGCCUUCCUCCGCGUCACCCCCCACUUCGGCCUGUGGCUGAAGACCUUCAAUGUGGAGCCGAAGAUGAUCGGGGGGCGUCAAGCAGAGUGCGGCGGGGCGGCCAUAAGCAGGAGGGCCGAUGCCCCAUGGCCCGAGGGCUCCUUCCAAGAGGAGCUCGGCUUGUGGCAGCAGGAGUGGUUCUAUAUCACCGCUCCGAAGGGCAGCAGGCAAAAGCUGCCGCCUUCAUUCCGCCCGGGACCUCCGUGA
This 549-nucleotide ribosomal RNA is filed under the name Triticum aestivum (bread wheat). RNAcentral describes it as "partial small subunit ribosomal RNA". The record is from RNAcentral. Lineage: Eukaryota; Viridiplantae; Streptophyta; Magnoliopsida; Poales; Poaceae.